Molecule: long non-coding RNA, 688 nt
Filed under: Erythranthe guttata (spotted monkey flower)
Lineage: Eukaryota; Viridiplantae; Streptophyta; Magnoliopsida; Lamiales; Phrymaceae
Description: long non-coding RNA (EGUT_LNC001652)
Source: RNAcentral
GAAAACCAACCACAAGAGCACUCAAGAAAAUGGGUUAGUGGGUUAGUUUAAGGAGUUAGAAUAAUAUUCACAAUUAAACCCACUUAAGCACUACUUAACCCACUAACUACUAUACUUAACCCACUAAGCACUACUUAUUUAAUAAUUAAAAUUUAGUUAGAAAAAUAGGAAAGUUAAAAACAAAUCCACGUGUUUCAAACUCCCCCUUUUUAACUUUCUGAUCAAAACUAAAUUUUAGCUUAACUCCCCCUGAGUCAUUGCUUGAACUCCCCCUGAAUAUGACAACCAAUAUAGCAAAUAACAAAAAUAGCGCAAUCCAAAGUCUCCUCAGUAUCAGCUGCUGUUCCUCCAUCACUAGUACUGGAUCCACUACUUUCCUCUGCUCCUUCAGCUUCACCCUGCUUCAACUUCAUGAUCAGCUUAUUCUCUGCCUCUGACAUCCAAAGGAUGAGAAGUCCCUGCUUCAAUCUUCAUGACUAGCUUUUUCUCCCCCUUUUUGAUCAGAAAGAUCUCUCUGAAGUAUUUCCACCAUGCACUGAUGAUAGGUGAUCUGAACUAGGGAGUGAGUAAGCUGUUUUAACAAAAUAAAUCUCGAGAAACAGAAAUAAGGAUGUCAGGAGUGUUGUCAACAUGAGGAGCAACACCUUCAGUACCAAGAUUAUUUUGACCUGAUUCAGUUGAGAGAAAA